This 459-nucleotide ribosomal RNA is filed under the name uncultured Frankineae bacterium. Its description in RNAcentral is "bacterial SSU rRNA". It matches the Rfam family "Bacterial small subunit ribosomal RNA", at positions 8 to 456 of the family's 1533-position model. The record is from RNAcentral. Lineage: Bacteria; Bacillati; Actinomycetota; Actinomycetes; Frankiales.
AGAGUUUGAUCAUGGCUCAGGACGAACGCUGGCGGCGUGCCUAAUGCAUGCAAGUCGAGCGACGCACACCGGAGGGGUAACCCACCGGUAUGACGGAGCGGCGAACGGGUGAGUAACACGUGAGCAACCUGCCCCACAGAUCGGGAUAGCCCAGGGAAACCUGGAUUAAUACCGAAUAUCCUCGAGUAACCACAUGAUUGUUCGAGGAAAUGCCUUUGUGCUGUGGGAUGGGCUCGCGGCUUAUCAGCUAGUUGGUGGGGUAACGGCCUACCAAGGCAUUGACGAGUAGCUGGUCUGAGAGGACGAUCAGCCACACUGGGACUGAGACACGGCCCAGACUCCUACGGGAGGCAGCAGCAGGGAAUCUUGCGCAAUGGGCGAAAGCCUGACGCAGCAACGCCGCGUGGGGGAUGAAGGCCUUCGGGUUGUAAACCCCUUUCAGGAGGGAAGAAAUGACGG